CGGUUCAAGUCCUCAAGACUGUUUCUGGGGGUUGCCGAGCUUCAGCGGCCUCCUUGAUUGGCUGAGGCGGAAAGGCACGUGCAGCCGCUGAUUGGCUGCGGGAUACGCCCAUGCAGCCGGUGACUGGCUGCAGGGUAGACACGCCCCAUGCAAGGCUGGAAGGCGGGAUCAGGGGGACUCCUGUUGCCCUCCGACCUUCCCCGCGCCACCGACGGAAGCCGGCUGGCGUCGGGCGCCCUCUCCUGGCCUCUUCUCUUUCCUGGCUACCGUUGAAUGCGCGGCCUGGCGCGUUGGAACUGCCAACUGGGCUUCCAUAACGCAGGGCUUCUCUGGCAGUCAGACGGCCCUGGGCUUGGCAGUCACUGGGGCGGGGGGGGGGGGGGGGGUCUGUUGGGUGCCAGGACGGCUCUCCAACCUGAGAGGCCCCUUGGAGCCUGUCGGUGGGACAGAGACUACUUCUGGGUUGCUCGUCUGGGGAGGCUCAGUUCACCAGGAGCCUGUGUGCAUUCAGCCCGCCACCAAGUCGGUUACCGGAAAAUCAGCUUUCCAGUGAGCAUAAGUAGGCCAGUCGUCCAAAAGUGGGGUGCUUCCCGCAGCGAGUCGGAAAAGCCGUUUGUAGCAUUUAGACUCUGCCAAGGUCAUACACGGUCGGAAGCGUGCUGAGGAGGAAAAAUAUCCUGGAGCCCUUGCAACGAGAGCCAAAGUUACCUGCCGUCUCGUCCCUUCUGAACCACACGGCUCUGACGCGAGAGCCAGCUGAGGCAAAGACCCCGGGCCCCUCCUCUUCCUGAGGACCACUGCUGCUGCAGAUGGGAAAGAGUUCUUUUCUUCCCCAGACUUUCAUGAAAGGGCUGAUCCAGGGUGUUGUCUAUGGAGCCAUUGCAGCCUCACUGCUGUUUUUCUGCCUCAUCCCACUCAUCACCGCUUACCUUAAACUUCCAGAAAAAGCAAGAUAAAGUGGAGCUCAUGAAGCCUAUGAAAACUACGUGCCUACCUGGAGUCCCAAUAUCUGCAGGAUUACCAAAGUCCACGGAAUCCUUAGGCACCCCAGAAACCCUGGAGUCUAUAACAAACCCGGAUCCCUGGAGCCUCCUCAGCUCACAAAGCCCUCUCAAGCCCCACCUGUCCCUCACACUGACUGGUUCUCCAUUGAGUAGGGUUACUCUGGGACCUGGUCUUAGAAUCUUUGCAAGCAAACUCUACAAUCUGUUGUUCGGGUUAACCAGAAGAAGUAUGCUCUGGCCUAGGAUGGUAUCAACGAAAGGAAAAAUAAAUGUGAGACUAUGGUCCAGAAGUAGCUUUGGAGCCCCUACUGUAUGCCCAGAACCUGGAAUAUACAUACAAGAGCACCAGGCUUUGGAGCCAUCAUAUAUGGAUUGAAUCCCAACUUUAAUGCUUAGUGGCUAUAUGUCUUUGGAUGAAACCUUUUCACCACUGCACCCUUUGAACUUCGGUAUCCUGACCUGAGGCAUAUGUAGGUAGAUAGUGAGUGAAAAGUGGUAUCCAGAGGUCCAGGUGGAGAAAAGACACAAAGACCAUCCCUGAAUGCCAAGACAAGGCAUUGGAGCCUUAAUCUUGACUCCCUUAGAAUGUGAGUUCCACAAGAACAGGUAUCUUGUCUGUCUUGGUUUCUACUUGAACCACCAGCACCUAGAAUGGUUCCUAAAAUAUAAGACUCUCAAAGAUGUUUGUCGAAUAACUGAAUGAAUGAAUGAAUGAAUGAUAAGCUGUUGCAAGGUUUGAAGCAAAGAAUGAUACAUAGUGAAAUCAUACUAGGAGUAGUUAUGGAACUCAGAAGAUACAAGACUGGAGGCAAAGAGCCUAGUUAACAGGUUAGUGCAGUAUUUCUUGGCUGAUAGACAGGCAUACAAGAAAUGAGAACAGGGAUCUGGCAAGAGGAUGGACGAUGGCUGUGUAUUGUUCCCCGCUGAAUGGAUGACAUCCUCCCUUCUGGAGCCAGAUGCUGGUAAUUUUCAGAGGUUGCAAAAAAGGGUCAUCUCUUCCCUGAAGCAUUAUUUGUGCAUAAAUCCAAUGGUUCUCCAUCCAGCACCAAUGUGAUGGUCAUCCCGUACUCAAGAGCAGAUGUUUAUAUAAGCCCCCAUGCACGGGCACUCCUUUGGCAUGCAGUUCACACAUUCCACAAAAAUAUAAGCAUCCACCUUGUGCCGGGUAGUGGAGUGAACCAGACAGACACUGGCCCUGCCUCCGUGGAGCUCGUGGUCCACACAGGUACACAAACAACAAUGAAAUAAACACAAAACUGCAGCUUACAAUGUUGACAAGUGCUAGGAAGAAAAAGGAUAUAAUACUAUGAGAAAGUAUGAGGGACAAGGGGAAGAACCCAGUUUGGAUUAGAGAAUCAGAGAAGGCCUCUCUGAGAGUGACAUUUGGGCUGAGAGACCAAAAGGAUUAUCAGGGGCUACUCGGAGGGACAGCAGAUUCUAGGCUCUGUGAUGGGAGAAGUUUAGUGAGUCUAAGAGUCCAGGUCUAUGCCCCGGAGCUCAGGUGGAAGGGUGAGCUCCGGACGUACCAGAUCUUUCAGGGCCUCAAAGGCUCUGGUGAGAAGUUUUAAGUUCUAUCCUCACUCACAGAGGGUUAUUUCCUCACGUGCUCUGUAACUUCGGAACGUGUGGUCCUAAGGAGCGGAGAAUGCCAUCUAGACGAGAAAUGGGAGAGAGGAUGGGAACUGGGCUGGGAACAGGUCAGGGAUGGGUUUGGACAAGAGAACGAAGAGCUGGGUCUUCCUCGCGUGUCUCGCUUUGUUCGUGAUAGGGAUCUUGCUUGCAGGAAGGGAAAUGGGGCACAAGAUGCCUUCUCAUCGGCCCUGAGGGUCGAGCACAUGGCAUUUUUGUUCCUUGGUCGAUGGCUUUCAAUUCGCCGCCUAUCACCUGCUCGCCCACAGUACUGGCUUGAAGAAGGAGUGUCUCUUAAAGGCUGAUUAGGCCUGCAGUUCACAGGGCUGGUAGGGUCUUAGAACCUUCUGCUCAAGAUAAACGAACUGCCGCUGGCUCCAGACUGCCUCAGGCGUGGGAGACUCAAGGGUUCUACUGCACGGUCCCUCCCCGUCCCAGCAGCCCCCGCGUGCAUCAUUAGGCCCUGAUUGGCUCCGGACGGAUUCACGUGUGCUAACGGCAUGCCUGAGGGGCGGGACUUCGCGGGGCGGCUUUCCCACGUGACCUCUGGUUGGUCGGAAGUUGGUGAGGCUGGGGACUCCCAGGCCGCCUAAUGAACUUGUUAUGAGUCAGCCUGAUGCGUUAGCCUUCCUCUCCCUUCGUCCCUUCACGGAAGUUCCCGUAGAUAGUGAGUCGGCCAAUCGAUCACGUGAUGCACUCGGCCAAACUCGAGGAGGACGUUCAGUUGUCUGGAAAGUAGCCUAGCAGAGACCUGCUGAGGCGGGCCCUGGUUGGCGCUGUGGGAACCCAAGACAAGGGGACCAGACCCAGAAACCAGAGCUCCACGACCUAGAGAUUCUUGUGGUUGGAGAUCCUGUGACCUUGACCUGUACCAUCAAAGGCACCUGUGCAGAGAAACCAAAGCCUUUUUCCUUUCCUGGAAUUGGCCCGCUCUCUCCUCCAACACAGACGGCUCCAGCAACUCCUCCUCCUGGUGCCGCACUUCACCCCAAAGCCUCAGGAUUAUGGCACCACUCUCAGAUGUUAUUUGAACUUCUCCCUAGCUAAGUUGACCAGAAGUAGCAUGGUCAUGUUCCAGGCGGUCUCACCCACUAGGCUGCUCUAUUCAUCUUGUUCCUUGGAGAAGACUCUACAGUGCAACUGUUCCUUCCAUGGGAUCCCUACACCCUCUGUGCAGUGGUUGAUGGAAGGUGUUCCUGUGGAUGUGAACAGCACAGACAACAUCUUCCAGGUGACUUCCACCAUAAUUGGCCCCUGGACCAACAGCACCAUCAGCCUCAUAGGGGAGCCAGAAAUAGUCAUGAGUCUCCGCUGUGAGGGGAAGAACCAGUAUGGAACCCAUACUUCAAGCAUCUUCCUCCUACCAGUUUACAGUGUGUUCACGAAGGGGCUGAUCCAGGGCGUUGUGUAUGGAUCCAUUGCAUCGGCACUGUUCUUCUUCUUCCUUGUCCUCCUUGCAAUGAAGAUUCUUAAAUGGUGGGAGGACAGGCACAUUCCCAAGGCCAGAGAGACCCCAAUUAUCCAGAAGCCAGAGCUGCCGGAAGAGCCAGAAACAGCCAUGGAGUCUGAAGCCAAAACUCCUGGGCCUCAAUUGGAAUCUAGGGCUCCCGAGAGAGGACAGACCAUGGACAGACAGACUCCCAGACGGAUCAAGACACACGCAUGGAUCGAAGAUGCGGAGACCGACCGGCCCAGCCAGACCUCACAGACCUACAGGGCAGGAGCAGCGACUUUGUCUGAGACUCUAAGACCGGAGACCACUGCUAGGAGCUCACGCAUUCCCUGGGCAGACAUCCCCCCAAAGACUCCUGGGUGCUGGGCCUCUUGGUCAGCCCCCACCAGGGACUCACCUGCUUCCUGCCCUUAAGCCACACGGUCUGGGCCGGCAGCCGGACGUGCAGGAGCACGGAGGAUGGACAGAGGAGCCUGGGGGGAGGCAGCACUAGGAAAUGGGCUAAUGCUGUGGCAGAGGCCACGCGGGCACUGUGACCCAGAGUGACCAGUCACCCUCCUGAGGCCUCGGGCACUGCCAAGCAAAUCCGCCCUCGGCGUUCUGCAGAGAGAAACGGGGAGCUGUGGGAGGGAAGCGCCCGAAACACUAAAGAAGCCCCAGAGGCCUCUCUGCAGGGACACUGGGGAUCAUGAAGCCCGUCCUCCACACCCCGACAUUGCAAACGGGGAAACCGAGCCUCAGAGUGCCUCAGGCCACUCAGCAACGCUGUGCACUGCUCAGGACCCCUCCAUCCCAGGACCUUUGAUCCCUGGAGCAGCUCUCCCCGUCCCUGGCCAUUUUCUCCUGCACUAAGAUUCUAGUGCACAGGUUGCAAAAUCAAAAGCCCCCGUUGGCCCCGCAGGUAACAAAAUGGGUGCCGUUGGCCUGGUGGGGACCUGGUCCAUCUUGAGAGCAGGCUCCCCACCUGAAGGGGGUGCCAGCAACAGCGAACUCAGCUCCAACCCUUACCUCCCGGCAGGAAUGAGAUCUGAACUGCUGGGUCUUCUGGUUUUGUUUUAAUGUAUCUGUCAUCUACCUCUGUCUGUCUGUCUGUCUAUCGAUCUAUCUAUCUAUAUCUAUCAUCUAUCCAUCCUCUAUCUAUCUAUCUCUGUAUUUUCAGAAGAAUCCAGAUACUUAGAUUCUAGUGUGAAAUUUCUGGAUUCGCACACGUUAGUAACAGUGUUUAAAAAGCACCAUGGGUCCUGGGGCGCCUGCGUGGCUCAGUCAUUUAGGCAUCCAACUCGAUUUUGGCUCAGGUCGUGAUCUCAUGGUUCGUCAGGCUCUGUGCUGACAGUGUUGGGAUUCUCUCUCUCCCUCUCUGUCCUUUCCCACUCGU
Molecule: RNA transcript, 5461 nt
Organism: Felis catus (domestic cat)
Lineage: Eukaryota; Metazoa; Chordata; Mammalia; Carnivora; Felidae
Gene: SIGLECL1
Gene name: SIGLEC family like 1
Exons: 11
Source: RefSeq, a predicted model, not a curated record